GGUAAUGAUCUAUAGCUGAUCUGAGAGGAUGAUCAGCCACACUGGAACUGAGAUACGGUCCAGACUCCUACGGGAGGCAGCAGUGGGGAAUAUUGGACAAUGGGCGAAAGCCUGAUCCAGCCAUGCCGCAUGAGUGAAGAAGGCCUUUGGGUUGUAAAGCUCUUUUAGUGAGGAAGAUAAUGACGGUACUCACAGAAGAAGUCCUGGCUAACUCCGUGCCAGCAGCCGCGGUAAUACGGAGAGGGCUAGCGUUAUUCGGAAUUAUUGGGCGUAAAGGGCGCGUAGGCUGGUUAAUAAGUUAAAAGUGAAAUCCCGAGGCUUAACCUUGGAAUUGCUUUUAAAACUAUUAAUCUAGAGAUUGAAAGAGGAUAGAGGAAUUCCUGAUGUAGAGGUAAAAUUCGUAAAUAUUAGGAGGAACACCAGUGGCGAAGGCGUCUAUCUGGUUCAAAUCUGACGCUGAAGCGCGAAGGCGU
Molecule: ribosomal RNA, 473 nt
Filed under: Wolbachia sp.
Lineage: Bacteria; Pseudomonadati; Pseudomonadota; Alphaproteobacteria; Rickettsiales; Anaplasmataceae
Description: bacterial SSU rRNA
Rfam family: Bacterial small subunit ribosomal RNA
Source: RNAcentral